Molecule: ribosomal RNA, 641 nt
Filed under: uncultured Bacteroidota bacterium
Lineage: Bacteria; Pseudomonadati; Bacteroidota
Description: bacterial SSU rRNA
Rfam family: Bacterial small subunit ribosomal RNA
Source: RNAcentral
AGUUUGAUCCUGGCUCAGGAUGAACGCUAGCGGCAGGCUUAACACAUGCAAGUCGAGGGGCAGCACAAGGAAGUAGCAAUACUGACUUGGUGGCGACCGGCGCACGGGUGCGUAACGCGUAUGCAACCUACCCUUCAGAAGGAGAAUAACCCGGAGAAAUUCGGACUAAUACUCCGUAUUUAUUUUUGAGGCAUCUCAGAAAUAUGAAAGAUUUAUCGCUGAAGGAUGGGCAUGCGUGACAUUAGGAAGUUGGUGAGGUAACGGCUCGCCAAUCCUACGAUGUCUAGGGGAACUGAGAGGUUUAUCCCCCACACUGGUACCGAGACACGGACCAGACUCCUACGGGAGGCAGCAGUGAGGAAUAUUGGUCAAUGGGCGCAAGCCUGAACCAGCCAUGCCGCGUGCAGGAUGACGGCUCUAUGAGUUGUAAACUGCUUUUAUACGAGAGUAAUGUCAUCUACGUGUAGGUGAUUGCAAGUAUCGUAAGAAUAAGGAUCGGCUAACUCCGUGCCAGCAGCCGCGGUAAUACGGAGGAUCCGAGCGUUAUCCGGAUUUAUUGGGUUUAAAGGGUGCGUAGGCGGAAUUUUAAGUUAGUCGUUAAAUCUCGGGGCUUAACCCCGACGGUGCGAUUAAUACUGGAU